RNAcentral lists this ribosomal RNA (95 nucleotides) under Bacillus sp. NTK074B. RNAcentral describes it as "partial 16S ribosomal RNA". It matches the Rfam family "Bacterial small subunit ribosomal RNA", at positions 1441 to 1533 of the family's 1533-position model. Lineage: Bacteria; Bacillati; Bacillota; Bacilli; Caryophanales; Bacillaceae. The record is from RNAcentral.
AGCAAUGGAGGCAGCCGACCACGGUAGGCUCAGCGACUGGGGUGAAGUCGUAACAAGGUAGCCGUAGGGGAACCUGCGGCUGGAUCACCUCCUUU